Erinaceus europaeus (western European hedgehog) is the source of this 66-nucleotide small nuclear RNA. The record is from Ensembl. Lineage: Eukaryota; Metazoa; Chordata; Mammalia; Eulipotyphla; Erinaceidae.
GUACUCACUUCGGCAGCACAUAUACUAAAAUUGAAACGAUACAGUGUUUAGCAUGGCCCCUGCGCA